CAUAUCUCGUCCUAAAAAUAAUUUAGAACGAUUUUUCACGUACUAAUUAACGCAAUUUCUUAAAGUUAUUAGUAAAAUCACAGCUACAAAUUAAAACUGAGUGUUCCACUCAGAAACUGCGUAUCAGCGCGUUAUUGCUAUCUCUGUAGACAAUAUAUUUCAAGAUAUCGAUUUUAAAAAACACCAACUCCAAAAUGUGGGGUGUUCUAAAGAACUUGAUGAAAGUCGUAUUGGUGGAACCUGACGUCACAGAAGAUGACGUAAACGUCCUCCUGUUCGGCAACUCAGGGACCGGAAAUUCAACUGUGAUAAACUCCAUUUGGAACUAUUUCAAAUAUCCCAUUUUCAGAGCAGCCCGAGGAAACAUCGAGACUGUAACACACGACAGUGAAGUUUAUAGUGUAGAUGAAGGCCUCAAAGUGUACAAACUCCCCAUCAAAAUGGACCUCAAAACCUUCAACUUGAUACUGAUUGAUACGCCCCCAGUGGGAAAUCCCAGAGGAAUAGAACAGGACAAUACCAACAUGGAGAACAUUCUAGGGUACCUGGCGACCCUAAAGAAACUCCACGCAGUUUGUUUUGUUUUCAAGGCACAUGAAACGAGGGUCACAAAGUUCAUGGAGUAUUGUCUUAAGCAGAUGUUGACACGACUAGACAGGAGUGCCAAAGAGGAUAUCAUUUUUAUUACUGUCUAUAAUGAAACCUCUAGGUACACAGCUGAAGAGACGAAGCAUCAUUGUUUAGUACCACUGGUCAGAGGUAUUCGGUCAAAUCCUCCACGUAUAAGAAUUGGCUUGAACAACGUCUUCGCUUUGGACAAUGAAGCAUUCCGAGCUUUAUUGAAAAUUCAGGAAGGAAAAAGAUACAAUAGACACGAAUUAGACGGAUUUGCCCAAAGCUGGGAAACCUCGUCGAAGGAAAUUCGCCGAUUGUUGACGUACAUUACAACGUUAGAGUCCCUAGACCUUCAAAACAUAAUCAGUAUUAACGAAGUCAGAUUUCUGGUCGAACAACUCGCGACUUGUAUUUCAGAAAUAUCAGAACGUAUACAAGACAACAUGAAAUCACUCGACACUCAUCAAAAACGUCUCACUACAGAGGACCAACUAAUUCAACAACUAAAACCACAACUAUACACAACCUGCGUUGGACUCGAAGUGAAAAAACUGACCCAACCUGCAACCAUUUGUACGAACCCUAAAUGUACAGAAGUCGUGACGGUCGCUGGGGUCAAACAAUGUCACUACAAACAAUGCCACAGUCCCUGUUACUUACCCGGAAAUAGCGAAACGACAGUCGGCGAUCUGAAACUCCGUUUUUGUUCUUUAAUGUUAAACGACAAGUGCAAGCAUUGCGGCUGCGCCUGGCAAUUCCACAUGAACACAUGCAAUGUAACCCAGAAGAAAGAAUUUCGAAAAGAAGACGAGAUGGUAAAAGACGCUAUCAAAAGCAAGGAAGACUCUCGUAGUCAAAUCGAGAAACUGGUUGCAGAUUUAAACAAACAGAACUCAGAACUGGAAGAAGAAGCCGAAACCAUUUCUAGAAUUAUAGCCAGGUUUUCGUACUUCUUGCAAAAACACGCAAUCUUGCCGUUCAAUGACGCCUACAACGACUUAAUUAAACAGCGCAUCAAAAACGAGAAGGAUCUAGAAAACUCAACUAAUCCAGAAAUGGUUGGAAAACUCGAGAAGCUCUUAAGCCAACACCAAGCCCGGCAAAAAAUCGUCCAAGAAAGCACCAGAAAGUUCCAAAACGAAGCUAGAAGCAGAGAUUUGACUCUUCAAACAAUCAUGAACUGCAUCUGUCGCCUCUACCGUUUGAAACACAUGGGAAAAACCAUACAAGAACUGACACAAACAUCGAGCAUUUGUCGUUACGAAGAAGCCCAGGAAAAUUUCAGCUUGGACGAGACAAUCGCCGAAGAUCAAUAUCAGAAGACGGACGACAGUGAACACGAUGAUGAAGUUAACACUAGUAACGAAAGCGAUAACAGUGACGAACCUGUUAUUAAAGUAACUUAUACAUAUCUAACUAAUGACUCUAGUUCUACGCAACGCUUAAGACAAAAUCCAUCUCCGCAGAGACAUGGAAACCGCCUAAUCAGAAAGCAUUCUUUUCGUCGAUAUAGAAAUCCAGAAGAAUAUCCCCCAACCGAAAAAAAAUCACAUAGAAGGCACUUGGACCAUUCACCAGAUGACCGUGAUUUUAGAAAAUCCAGCUCUGACAAUGACUCGGAUGGUGGUCAUUUUGCUCGAUCUUUUGACAGGAAAAGCAGUACCAAACGUUCACAAAAGCAACACCACGAUCGUUCUAGGAAGUCAGAUCGUGGUAAAAAUGACUCUUUUCGGCAACCAAGAGAUUCAGAAGAGUAUUACAGAAGAAUUGAGAAAAAAACAAGACAAAGAGCACGCGAUGAAGUGGAACAUUCGCCCAGGCGUCAUCGUCACAGAAAUGACAGCUACGUCUCAAAUGAUCAUGAUCCUAUAAAGGGUUAUAGUGCUCGAAGUAAGCAUUCUAGACACGAAGAUCGAUCUGAUACUGAAAGUUCAAAACGAUCUAAGAACUAUGAAUCAGGUGAUGAUCGGUCUACCAAGUUGACUAGAUCUAGACGCAGAUCUGGGGACGAAACUAGAGAGGACCAUUCACCAGAUGACCGUGAUUCUAGAAGAUCCAGCACUGACAAUGGCUCGGAUGGUGAUCAUUUUGCUCGAUCUUUUGACAGGAGAAGCAGUACCAAACGUUCACAAAAGCAACACCACGAUCGUUCUAGGAAGUCAGAUCGUAGCAAAAAUUACUCUUUUCGGCAACCAAGAGAUUCAGAAGAGAAUUACAGAAGAAUUGAGAAAAAAACAAGACAAAGAGCACGCGAUGAAGUGGAAGAUUCGCCCAGGCGUCAUCGUCACAGGAAUGACAGCUACGUCUCAAGUGAUCAUGAUUCUAUAAAGGGUUAUACUGCGCAAAGUAAACAUUCUGGACACGAAGAUCGAUCUGAUACUGAAAGUUUAAAACAAUCUAAGAACUAUGAUUCAGGUGAUGAUCGUCCUACCAAGUUGACUAGAUCUAGACGCAGAUCUGGGGACGAAAGUAGAGAUCCGGGUAACAAAUUGUCUACAAGAUCUUCUGGUCGUGGACAGAAACAAACAGAGUCAAAAACCCGAGGAAAAUCUAGUCAACGUAACGAAUCUUUCAGAGGAGAACGCAGUACCAAAAGAGGUCCGAAAACCCAGAAGAAGCCUAAAUCUGGAGACGAAAGUUAGAAUUCUAAAAUAAAGUGAAUACCAACAAUUUGAUGGUGAUGGUUGUCCAUUUCUGAUCUGUUUAUCUCUCGGUACUUCAAGGGAAUAGUUAGUAUUAUGAGGAACAAUAAAUUUUUAUCUGACCGAAAUUCGUCAACAUGCCGCAGUACAUAAUUAAAGAAAAAGAAGAAAUAGUCACUGAUGGAUACAUUAAAGCCUUAUCGACAACAGAGAAACUCCGCAAAAUUUUGCUGCAGCAUUCCCACAUCGUUCCAUACUCGGCAAGAGCACAAUUUAAAAAUUUUGUGGCAUAUUUAUAAACACAGGUUUUUUCGAU
This is an RNA transcript of Zophobas morio, 3573 nucleotides long. It is a transcript of the gene named eukaryotic translation initiation factor 3 subunit A-like, with no coding region annotated. Lineage: Eukaryota; Metazoa; Arthropoda; Insecta; Coleoptera; Tenebrionidae. The record is from RefSeq and is a predicted model, not a curated record. The transcript is spliced from 6 exons.